This 492-nucleotide ribosomal RNA is filed under the name Enterobacter sp. RNAcentral describes it as "bacterial SSU rRNA". It matches the Rfam family "Bacterial small subunit ribosomal RNA", at positions 27 to 508 of the family's 1533-position model. The record is from RNAcentral. Lineage: Bacteria; Pseudomonadati; Pseudomonadota; Gammaproteobacteria; Enterobacterales; Enterobacteriaceae.
GAUUGAACGCUGGCGGCAGGCCUAACACAUGCAAGUCGAACGGUAACAGGAAGCAGCUUGCUGCUUCGCUGACGAGUGGCGGACGGGUGAGUAAUGUCUGGGAAACUGCCCGAUGGAGGGGGAUAACUACUGGAAACGGUAGCUAAUACCGCAUAACGUCGCAAGACCAAAGAGGGGGACCUUCGGGCCUCUUGCCAUCGGAUGUGCCCAGAUGGGAUUAGCUAGUAGGUGGGGUAACGGCUCACCUAGGCGACGAUCCCUAGCUGGUCUGAGAGGAUGACCAGCCACACUGGAACUGAGACACGGUCCAGACUCCUACGGGAGGCAGCAGUGGGGAAUAUUGCACAAUGGGCGCAAGCCUGAUGCAGCCAUGCCGCGUGUAUGAAGAAGGCCUUCGGGUUGUAAAGUACUUUCAGCGGGGAGGAAGGCGAUGAGGUUAAUAACCNNNUCGAUUGACGUUACCCGCAGAAGAAGCACCGGCUAACUCCGUGC